CCUACUUGGCUCAGCGGUUAGAGUCUUGCUCUCAUAAGGCAAUGGUCAUUGGUUCAAAUCCAAUAGUAGGUA
RNAcentral lists this transfer RNA (72 nucleotides) under Magnolia biondii. RNAcentral describes it as "tRNA-Met". It matches the Rfam family "tRNA". Rfam says of the family: Transfer RNA (tRNA) molecules are approximately 80 nucleotides in length. The record is from RNAcentral. Lineage: Eukaryota; Viridiplantae; Streptophyta; Magnoliopsida; Magnoliales; Magnoliaceae.